GCCUACGGGGGGCAGCAGUGAGGAAUAUUGGUCAAUGGGCGGGAGCCUGAACCAGCCAAGCCGCGUGAGGGAAGAAGGUACAGCGUAUCGUAAACCUCUUUUGUCAGGGAACAAAGGCGGGGACUAGUCCCCGGAUGAGGGUACCUGAAGAAAAAGCAUCGGCUAACUCCGUGCCAGCAGCCGCGGUAAUACGGAGGAUGCGAGCGUUAUCCGGAUUUAUUGGGUUUAAAGGGUGCGUAGGCGGGACCUUAAGUCAGCGGUUAAAUUGCGGUGCUCAACGCCGUAGAGCCGUUGGAACCUGGGUU
Molecule: ribosomal RNA, 305 nt
Filed under: uncultured bacterium
Lineage: Bacteria
Description: bacterial SSU rRNA
Rfam family: Bacterial small subunit ribosomal RNA
Source: RNAcentral